CAUAGUAUGGGUCCUAUCAAAUUUGCUAGGAUACGUUGAUAUGUAAUUGGUGGAGGGAAAAGGACCAGGGGAGUGUUGGGGCACCAAAGGAUCCAACUUGGGCCCUAGUUUAUGGGUCAUGACAUCACACACUCUCCCCCACUCCCGGCCUUGGAACCUGACUUAUGGUAGCAACAGAAGUCAGGUUCUGAGACCUCAUGAGACCUUGAAAAGUUUAUCUGAGGCCUUGUGAGGCCUUGUAGAUGGUUUUUGACCUCCCAUGACGUCUCAGACAUCAGGUUCUGAGGUCUCAGAAGGCUUCAGAAAGCAUCUCCGAGGCCGUGCAAGACCUCGGAAAUUGCAAGGGGGCCCUGUGGGGUGACGUUAACAUAUGAGAGUGCUGGAGGUGAAAUAGUUAAACAGGUUACCCAAUCAGAACCCAGGGGGUGGAGUCAGAGGGACUAUAAAACCAGCUCUGGGAGGGGCGAAGGGAGGAGUUCGUUGGGAGUUGAGUGGUUGGUUGGAGUGGGAGUGAAUUGGGAUAGAGUCUGUGGGUAGGUUGAGUUAGUGUAGUGAAAUAAGCUGAGUCAGGAACAGUUAGGAGCUAGGAAGACAAGUACCAUAUUUUUUGCUCUAUAAGACUCACUUUUUCCCUCCUAAAAAGUAAGGGGAAAUGUGUGUGCGUCUUAUGGAGCGAGUGCAGGCUGUGCAGCUAUCCCAGAAGCCAGAACAGCAAGAGGGAUCGCUGCUUUCACUGCACAGCGAUCGCUCUUGCUGUUCUGGCUUCUGGGAUUCAGAAUACUUUUUUUCUUCUUUUCCUCCUCCAAAAACUGGGUGCGUCUUAUGGUCUGGUGCAUUUUAUAGAGCGAAAAAUACGGUAAAUAUCUGAGAGGUGGUUUAGUGAGUGAGAGCAGGUAGCGGAAGUUAUAGGUCUGGAUAGGCACCCCAUGACUGUAAUGGACCAAUACCGUUUAUGAAACCACAUGCUUGUUAAACUGCAAUAAAUAAACAGAAGUUUAUGUUCCAAUUUAACCCUGACUGGACUCAGUAUUGUACCAGGUAGGGCCUGGGUGGUGGCAAGGAGAAAUAAAGUGGUGGCACCGGGAUCAAUAGACGGACCCUGUGUGAUCGCCACAUGUGGUGAGGGUGCCGAGCACCCACAACAAAAGCUUUGUAGGUGCACAGGCACCCAGAGCCCCCCAUAUGUGGCGCCCCUGCAUGGCACUUUUUCUUUCCCCACUUGUCAAUUCUCCACUGCAAAUCGCACCACCCCCCUCUUGUUUCUCCACCAGAUCCCCUCCUCUGCCCCACAGUUGCUCUUCCCCUGCAGGAUUCCAGAAGCAUCUUUGACUUGCUGACAAGCAAGUAAUGAAUAAUGGUGAAAGCUCUUUCCCAAUCCCAUGACAGCUCCUGAUCUUUUUGUCUCGUCGGUUUCAGCCAACAUAAAGAAGAAACACAGGUCAUUUUUUGUUCUGUUACCAGGCAGGCUUCUGGGGAAAUUUAACCUUCUCAGUGUGUGUUGGCUUGCUUAGUUGGCACAAAGAAGUAAAUAAAUGAGAAUUGAUACAGCGAUAUGAUGGCAAUCUCUCCCUCUCUCUCUCUUUCUCUUUCUUUGUUAUGACUGAUGGGGUAACUUAGCAAGUAGAACACCUAUUAUUCAAACCCCAGCUAUCCAUAACUCCUGGUAGUAUCUUGUGUAGCCCAUUGUAAAUCUAAGUCAAUUGUACCAAUCUCCUUUUGUCAGCGCUACUCCCAGAGCACUGGCCAGAGGGAAAGAUUGUGUCUGCUCCGCUAAUAUAAUACUAGUGUUAUUCUCGUUGAAAUGAUCUUUCCUGUAUCAAGCUUUGACCCAAAACUGAGAUCAAAUCAGGGGAGUUCACUGAAUGUGUCUCUCAUUUAUGCAGUUAAGUCUCGCAGUUUAUCGGGGAAAGUGGUAGAACUGGCAAGUGUGCUUGUCUUGUUGCACGGUCAGUUUGCUGCCUUCAUAACAUGCAAAGAAAGGAGGAAACAGAUUGUAAGUAAUUAUUUAUUUGUUAUGUAAGGGAUGCGAUAUCUUCACCUUCACUUUCCUCCGCUGGCUUUUUGAAUCCUAAAAUCUGAGGGAACACUUUUCAUGCUUACUUCCUAGCAGUUGGCUGCCUGCAGCCAUAACAAAAAACAGCUGAAGUGAAACGUGUUGUCAAGCAACAAGUGGGGUGGGAAUUUAAAAAGAACACCUGUGCCUUGUUAUUACAAAUCAUAUCCACACUGGACUUCUAAUAGACCCAAUAAUACAAAUUUAGCUACACGUAAUGCAACAAAUGAAAACACCUGUAUGUGCCAUGCGGCGAUAGAUAUUGAAAGGUAGCCGGAUGUCUCGCUUUGGUCCCUCACUCUGUUGGUGGUUUCAAAACAGCAGGCUUUUUCUUUUCCUGCCUUUUAAAGUCUCCUGAAUCCUUAACUAUUUUAAUACUUAAAGAAAGGCACUAUUUACUUGACCUCCAUCACUUCUGCCAGCACAUUUGUAUCAUACCAGCUUCCCCAUCUUCUUCUCAGUAUGUAUCAGCAGUGCGGACAGAACGAGAACAGAUGAGCAUCACCAUGUCAUCUGCUACUGUCAGUAUCCCAUUUGCUUCCACUGGUCUACUUAGAGGUAAGCCCCUUUGAGUUCAGUGGGUCUUACUUCUAGGUAAGUGUGUAUAGGACUGCAGCUGAAAUCUGCCGAACAUUUCCCUUCUUUAGCCUAUAGGCAGUGUUUCAAAGCCAAUCUGAUAUAUCUGUUCAGUUCUGCGCUGCUGUAUACCUAGAUGUGAAAAAAUAUAUAUACUUUGGUAUUCUAGAAAGCAAUCAAUUUAUGCCCUGAAGCAUUGAAACCUGGUGACUUCUUGAACCUUUUUUGACCUGAGGCACAUAGCAUUCAACAUGGUUGCCGUUCGGGUAGUUAUUUAAUCCUACCAGAGCGUUUCCUUCAAUAGUUUAUAGCAGAUGCUCUGAAAAGUUUCUCUAUGCUUGAGCUUGGUUAUUUUUUCUUUAGAUACUUUCCAAGGAUGAGGUAUACUAGAGGCAACCUUUUCAUUAAGGACUCUUUUUUUGUAAUGCAGAAACUGAAGUGGCAUAAUCCCGCCACUUAUACAUGGCAGUGGCUUUUAUUUGUUUGGUUGUAGAAAAAUGGAAAGAUGUACUGUGCAGACUCAUAUCUAGCUACUCAGUAUGAAAUCCAGUAAACAAGGACACACACGUGCACACACACCAACAGAAUAAAAAUAUUUUUAAUGUAUUAUUCACCCACCUCUAGGGAUUCGCCGCUAUUCUCUAUUACUGUGCUUCCUAAAUAAAUUAUUUAAUGUUCUACAAAUAGAGCAACCCAUUCAGGUAGUAAUUCAGAUUAUACAUGGGGAACACGAAAUAUCCCCCAGAACCUCUGUAAUCAUAUCCUUUCCUGAACAGACAGCACAUUACCAUAAUAUUUAUUUAUUUUCUUCUUUUGUGUGUCUCGGGGGGGGGGAGCAUACCAUCCCACAUUUGGUUAUUGACAUUGUAAGAAGAUAAAAAAUACGCAUGGGCAUGUAUGAGGUAGUUAAAAGUAAAUCUGAAACAGUGCGCCCAUCAUAUGGACAGACAGACCUUUUCUGAAAGCUGGAUUCAUUUGGAUGAAGUACAGUGGUACCUUGGUUCUCAAACUUAAUACGUUCCAGAAGUCCGUUCCAAAACCAAAACAUUCCAAAACCAAGGCGCGCCUUCCCAUAGAAAGUAAUACAAAAUGGAUUAAUCCGUUCCAGACUUUUAAAAACAACCCCUAAAACAGCAAUUUAACAUGAAUUUUACUGUCUAACGAGACCAUUGAUCUAUAAAAUGAAAGCAAUAAACAAUGUACUGCAGUCACACAAUCAAUCAGUAGCUGAACUGGGUCCCACACAGUCAC
Non-coding RNA from Podarcis lilfordi (Lilford's wall lizard), 3880 nucleotides. Lineage: Eukaryota; Metazoa; Chordata; Lepidosauria; Squamata; Lacertidae. The record is from the annotation of a GenBank genome assembly.